UUCAAGAGUACGUGAAACCGUUCAGGGGUUAAACGGGAGACAUCCUGAAUUCGAUGGGGUUUUCAAAGGAUUCAGGCCUGUCCGUGUGUAAACGGGCACCUUUGACAGAUGGCGCUGGUCGCCCGCAGCGAUUCAUUUCGCUUGUGGUGUCGAUCCCGGCGUUCACUCGUCUUGGUUGUUGUUACCCGGCACCGGAAGGUCGCACUUCCACCUCAGUAGAAACGUCGCGACCCGUUGGGUGCCGGUCUUAAGGCUUGGGAUGGCAGACCGUGUCCUGUGGGGCUCCACAGGUGCGCGGACUCCUGAUGACCCGGCCGGCUGCCCGACGGUAUGAGCAGAGGAGUCGAUCCGCUGAAUGGGAAACACUGUGUGUGUUUAGCGUCCGGCCCUACGCUGAUGUGCGCAGAGGUUAAGGCGAAAGCCGUGGGGGUCCGUGCUUGCAUGGAUUCACGAGCCCUGUAGCGUCUUCGGUUAGUUGUGGUCUCGGACUGGAU
RNAcentral lists this ribosomal RNA (494 nucleotides) under Lopaphus sphalerus. Its description in RNAcentral is "partial large subunit ribosomal RNA". The record is from RNAcentral. Lineage: Eukaryota; Metazoa; Arthropoda; Insecta; Phasmatodea; Lonchodidae.